CCCAAGUUCCAAGAAGGACCCUGAAGGGGUGCUCACCUAACACUCUUCCCCACCUGAGCCUUCUGUCCGCUGAUGAUUUUCUGGGCUUGCCUGGAUCUUCCUACAGAUGUUGGCUCCUACAUGAACCUGUACAACGUAGUGGACUUUCCUGCUGGUGUCGUGCCGGUCACCACUGUGACGCCACAGGACGAGGAGGAACUGGCUUUCUACAAGGGAUACUAUGGAGAUAGUUCUGACAAACAAUUCCGGGAGGCCAUACAAAGAUCCGUGGGACUUCCUGUGGCUGUGCAGUGUGUUGCUCUGCCGUGGGAAGAUGAGCUGUGUCUCCGGUUCAUGAAAGAGGUGGAGACCUUGACCAAGAACCACAGGGGACCCAAGUGACCAACCACUCCUCCUGGAGGCCUUCAUCCUUGUCCAGGUACUCAAGAAAUGGACUCCUCACAUUCAUUGGCCCAAGUUGGGGCACAGGGUGAAGGGCUCAAUAAACAUUUCUGACUGGUA
Molecule: long non-coding RNA, 501 nt
Organism: Suricata suricatta (meerkat)
Lineage: Eukaryota; Metazoa; Chordata; Mammalia; Carnivora; Herpestidae
Exons: 3
Source: RefSeq, a predicted model, not a curated record